Molecule: ribosomal RNA, 253 nt
Filed under: uncultured bacterium
Lineage: Bacteria
Description: partial 16S ribosomal RNA
Rfam family: Bacterial small subunit ribosomal RNA
Source: RNAcentral
UACGUAGGGUGCGAGCGUUAAUCGGAAUUACUGGGCGUAAAGUGUGCGCAGGCGGCCGAGCAAGUCGAGUGUGAAAGCCCCCGGCUCAACUGGGGAGGGUCAUUCGAUACUGAUCGACUCGAAGGCAGGAGAGGGUAGUGGAAUUCCCGGUGUAGUGGUGAAAUGCGUAGAUAUCGGGAGGAACACCAGUGGCGAAGGCGACUACCUGGCCUGUUCUUGACGCUGAGGCGCGAAAGCGUGGGGAGCGAACAGG